This 70-nucleotide transfer RNA is filed under the name Tomocerus caputiviolaceus. RNAcentral's name for it is "tRNA-Pro". The record is from RNAcentral. Lineage: Eukaryota; Metazoa; Arthropoda; Collembola; Entomobryomorpha; Tomoceridae.
CAGAAAGUAGUUUAAUUUAUAAAAUUAUAAUUUUGGGAAUUUUGGAUAACAUUUUAUUUGUUCUUUUUGA